AGAAUCAACGCUGGCGGCGUGCCUAACACAUGCAAGUCGAACGAGAAAGUGGAGCAAUCCAUGAGUAAAGUGGCGCACGGGUGAGUAACACGUGACUAACCUACCUUUUAGUGGGGGAUAACCUAGGGAAACCUGGGCUAAUACCGCAUAAUACUUACGAGUCAAAGCAGCAAUGCGCUGAAAGAGGGGGUCGCGGCCGAUUAGCUAGUUGGCGGGGUAAUGGCCCACCAAGGCAGUGAUCGGUAUCCGGCCUGAGAGGGCGCACGGACACACUGGAACUGAAACACGGUCCAGACUCCUACGGGAGGCAGCAGUGGGGAAUUUGCGCAAUGGGGGAAACCCUGACGCAGCAACGCCGCGUGGAGGAUGAAGUCCCUUGGGACGUAAACUCCUUUCGAUCGGGACGAUAAUGACGGUACCGGAAGAAGAAGCCCCGGCUAACUUCGUGCCAGCAGCCGC
Molecule: ribosomal RNA, 459 nt
Filed under: uncultured bacterium
Lineage: Bacteria
Description: SSU rRNA
Rfam family: Bacterial small subunit ribosomal RNA
Source: RNAcentral